UUUCCUACGGGACGCAGCAGUGAGGAAUAUUGGUCAAUGGGCGAGAGCCUGAACCAGCCAAGUCGCGUGAAGGAUGACGGACUUAUGGGUUGUAAACUUCUUUUGUCAGGGAGCAAUUGAGUCCACGUGUGGGCUUAGCGAGAGUACCUGAAGAAAAAGCAUCGGCUAACUCCGUGCCAGCAGCCGCGGUAAUACGGAGGAUGCGAGCGUUAUCCGGAUUUAUUGGGUUUAAAGGGUGCGUAGGCGGAAUAUCAAGUCAGCGGUAAAAAUUCGGGGAUCCACCCCGUCGUGCCGUUGAAACUGAU
RNAcentral lists this ribosomal RNA (305 nucleotides) under uncultured bacterium. RNAcentral's name for it is "bacterial SSU rRNA". It matches the Rfam family "Bacterial small subunit ribosomal RNA", at positions 335 to 637 of the family's 1533-position model. The record is from RNAcentral.